This 312-nucleotide ribosomal RNA is filed under the name uncultured Planctomycetota bacterium. RNAcentral's name for it is "bacterial SSU rRNA". It matches the Rfam family "Bacterial small subunit ribosomal RNA", at positions 30 to 351 of the family's 1533-position model. Lineage: Bacteria; Pseudomonadati; Planctomycetota. The record is from RNAcentral.
UCUGAACGCUGGCGGCGUGGCUAAGACAUGCAAGUCGAACGGUGUAGCAAUACACAGUGGCGGACGGGUGAGUAAUGUAUCGCUAAUGUACCCCGAUGUCUGGGAUAGCCAGUCGAAAGAUUGGGUAAUACCAGAUGAGACCACAGAACCGCAUGGUUCAGUGCUCAAAGGGUCACCGCAUUGGGAGCAGGCGAUAUCGUAUCAGCUAGUUGGUGAGGUAACGGCUCACCAAGGCGACGACGCGUAUCCGGACUGAGAGGUCGGCCGGACACAUUGGGACUGAGACACUGCCCAGACUCCUACGGGAGGCUG